RNAcentral lists this long non-coding RNA (392 nucleotides) under Physcomitrium patens. Its description in RNAcentral is "long non-coding RNA (PPAT_LNC013388)". The record is from RNAcentral. Lineage: Eukaryota; Viridiplantae; Streptophyta; Bryopsida; Funariales; Funariaceae.
UUGGAGCUCAAAAAUAAUUUUUUGGAAGUUGAAGACAUCUACAAUCUUAAAGAGAGAGAAUUUAUAGAACAUUAUAAAAACAAAGAGAAUAGUUUAUUAUUUUUUAUUAAUAUAUUAGAAAAAUCUUAUAUAGAAGUAUAGUUACCAAAAGCAAAGCAAAGAGCUCUAUUGAGCUUCACCAUAUUAGUCACAAAUAAUCUAAUAAGCAAAGUAUUUCAAUACAAUAACCUUGCAGAUUUAUAGAACAUGUUUAGAAGAAUGUUUAAUUAGAAAACUAGUAAUAAAUCAUGUUAUUGAUCAAAAAAAUAAAUAAGGUAACAAUAAAAGAAGGUGGUCAUAUUAAUAUUUUUUUAAUUGAGGCAAUAGACAAGAAGAACUAGCUAAAGAUAUUU